UCUGUAUGAAUUAGUUCUAAGAGAUUCUAACUUCUAGUUGCCUUUUAAUUACUGAAUUUAGUCAUUUUCCCUUACAACACUCCACACAAUCAGUCAUAUCAGAAUAGUCUAAAUCUGUAGGUAAAAGUUUAUUUUUCUAAAGUGUUUUGAGUCUUUCUUUUGAAAUGUGGCCUAGUCUCCUAUGCCACAAGUUUGCAGACUGCUGAUUAUAAAGGAUUUUGUUAGUUCUAGUGAUCUUAUUGCUGUGAUUCUUAAUGUUUUCAUUAUUUUCAAUUAACAGAAUUUUUUGUUGUGCAACAGAACAAUUUAAUUGCAAAUAAUCAUUAUUGAAAACACCACAACCAAUAUAUUCAGAAUCCUGAAAAAGCUUUAUUCCUUUCAUAUCAAUGGAAAGUCUACAACCAUACUUAACCAAAAGAGAAACAAAAAUUAAAUUCCUCUUGAGCGAGGGAAUGUAAUAAACAUUGUCCAGAUAAAUAAACUUUCCUAAACCAUGAUGCAGCAAACCUACUGCUUAGAUACCAGGAUCAACAAGCUCUAAAGCUUGGGGCUUUAAACACACACAAAACACUUGGAUUUGGGAAUCACUCCCUAGUUUCUCACCAAAAUUUAGGCCUCUCACCCAAACUAGGCUUCACGCCAAUCCCAUCACAGGAAAACUCAGAAACACUCUGAUAAUUUUUUAUUCAUAUAACAUAGCAUAGCAUACCUAGGUAGCCCUUACACUUAUUUAUACUUGAGCUAGUAGCUCAAAUUGACACGACCCACCCCAAAUUUCACCCUGAAACCCGGAGUAAGUCGUGCGGGGACCACCUCCAAGAAAAAUUUACUGAAAAGAUUAAACAAAUCUCCCUUGCAGAUGGACAACCCUAACUCGAAAAUUUCAUAUUACACUCUUAAUUCAACACUUCCGAACAUCACAUAAUCAUCUUUCAGAAAUUUUACACAUAAUAUACAAUAAUCCCAAAGUAUUCAGAGCUACUAAACACAAGCGGAAGAAAGAAAACACGAGUAGGUUGAACAGGUAACCUACUGACGAAAACUGGCAGAAAUACGGGUGACUAUGCCUCGUCUCCUACUAGAUCCAACCCGAACUCUGCAGACUGGGCAAUUUAAAACGAAGGGCCCAGGGGAAAACAUUUAAUAACGUUAGAGUGAGUGGACAAAAAUAAAAUAAUAAAUAAAAUAUUUAUGUUUCCCCAAAUUAAUUUCUAAGGAAAAAUCGAAUGCAUGCCGCAAGCGAUAAAACUUUUAUCCCAUAAAUGUCGAGCCUCUCAGGCUCUAUAAUAUAUGUAUGUAUUUACACACGUCCAUACUCCCUAUAUAAAUUCAUGGGUCUAUAUAGGGCUACUACGCUCGCGUCCAACGCUCACGUCACGCCCUUAAUGCGGUGCUACACU
This 1400-nucleotide long non-coding RNA is filed under the name Fragaria vesca (wild strawberry). RNAcentral describes it as "long non-coding RNA (FVES_LNC004455)". The record is from RNAcentral. Lineage: Eukaryota; Viridiplantae; Streptophyta; Magnoliopsida; Rosales; Rosaceae.